Molecule: ribosomal RNA, 253 nt
Filed under: uncultured bacterium
Lineage: Bacteria
Description: partial 16S ribosomal RNA
Rfam family: Bacterial small subunit ribosomal RNA
Source: RNAcentral
UACAGAGGGUGCAAGCGUUGUUCGGAAUUACUGGGCGUAAAGCGCGUGUAGGCUGCGGAGUAAGUCGGAUGUGAAAUCUCUUGGCUUAACCAAGGAAGUGCAUCCGAUACUGUUUCGCUUGAGUGUCGGAGGGGAUGGCGGAAUUCCCGGUGUAGAGGUGAAAUUCGUAGAUAUCGGGAGGAACACCUGUGGCGAAGGCGGCCAUCUGGACGACAACUGACGCUGAGACGCGAAAGCGUGGGUAGCAAACAGG